UAAGACGAAGGAUUCAAGCGUUGUCCGGAUUUACUGGGUUUAAAGGGUGCGUAGGCGGAAAGCUAAGUCAGUGGUGAAAGCCCGCAGCUCAACUGCGGAACUGCCAUUGAAACUGGCCUUCUUGAAUACAGUGGAGGUAGAUGGAAUAUAACAUGUAGCGGUGAAAUGCUUAGAUAUGUUAUAGAACACCGAUUGCGAAGGCAGUCUGCUACACUGUCAUUGACGCUGAGGCACGAAAGCGUGGGAGCGAACAGGAUUAGAUACCCUGGUAGUCCACGCCCUAAACGUUGAUUACUCGCUGUUGGCGAUACACUGUCAGCGGCUAAGCGAAAGCGUUAAGUAGUCCACCUGGGAAGUACGUCCGCAAGGAUGAAACUCAAAGGAAUUGACGGGGGCCCGCACAAGCGGAGGAGCAUGUGGUUUAAUUCGAUGAUACGCGAGGAACCUUACCUGGGCUUAAAUGUCAAGUGACCGCUGCCGAAAGGCGGCUUCCCUUCGGGGCAA
This 504-nucleotide ribosomal RNA is filed under the name uncultured Prolixibacter sp. RNAcentral's name for it is "bacterial SSU rRNA". It matches the Rfam family "Bacterial small subunit ribosomal RNA", at positions 521 to 1029 of the family's 1533-position model. Lineage: Bacteria; Pseudomonadati; Bacteroidota; Bacteroidia; Marinilabiliales; Prolixibacteraceae. The record is from RNAcentral.